Molecule: ribosomal RNA, 329 nt
Filed under: uncultured bacterium
Lineage: Bacteria
Description: bacterial SSU rRNA
Rfam family: Bacterial small subunit ribosomal RNA
Source: RNAcentral
CGCGUAGGUGGUAGUGUAAGUCUGGGGUGGAAUCCCAGGGCUCAACCCUGGAACUGCCUUGGAAACUGCAUUACUUGAGUCAGUGAGGGGAGGGUAGAAUUCCUGGUGUAGCGGUGAAAUGCGUAGAUAUCAGGAGGAAGGCCUGUGGCGAAGGCGGCCCUCUGGCGCUGGACUGACACUGAGGCGCGAAAGCGUGGGAGCAAACAGGAUUAGAUACCCUGGUAGUCCACGUCCUAAACGGUGGGCACUAGGUGUAGGGCUCGUAAGGGUUCUGUGCCGAAGGGAAACCAUUAAGUGCCCCGCCUGGGGAGUACGGCCGCAAGGUUGAA